Molecule: ribosomal RNA, 468 nt
Filed under: uncultured bacterium
Lineage: Bacteria
Description: partial 16S ribosomal RNA
Rfam family: Bacterial small subunit ribosomal RNA
Source: RNAcentral
GACGAACGCUGGCGGCGUGCUUAACACAUGCAAGUCGAACGGAAAGGCCCUGCUUUUGUGGGGUGCUCGAGUGGCGAACGGGUGAGUAACACGUGAGUAACCUGCCCUUGACUUUGGGAUAACUUCAGGAAACUGGGGCUAAUACCGGAUAGGAGCUCCUGCUGCAUGGUGGGGGUUGGAAAGUUUCGGCGGUUGGGGAUGGACUCGCGGCUUAUCAGCUUGUUGGUGGGGUAGUGGCUUACCAAGGCUUUGACGGGUAGCCGGCCUGAGAGGGUGACCGGCCAAAUUGGGACUGAGAUACGGCACAGACUACUACGGGAGGCAGCAGUGGGGAAUAUUGCACAAUGGGCGGAAGCCUGAUGCAGCAACGCCGCGUGCGGGAUGACGGCCUUCGGGUUGUAAACCGCUUUCGCAUGUGACGAAGCGUGAGUGACGGUAAUGGGUAAAGAAGCACCGGCUAACUACGUG